CCUACGGGCGGCAGCAGUGGGGAAUAUUGGGCAAUGGGCGCAAGCCUGACCCAGCAACGCCGCGUGAAGGAAGACGGCUUUCUGGUUGUAAACUUCCUUUAAGAGGGAAGAGCAGAAGACGGUACCUCUUGAAUAAGCCACGGCUAACUACGUGCCAGCAGCCGCGGUGAAACGUAGGUGGCAAGCGUUGUCCGGAUUUACUGGGUGUAAAGGGCGUGCAGCCGGGAAGACAAGUCAGAUGGGAAAUCCCGCGGCUCAACCGCGGAACUGCAGUUGAAACUGAUGUUCUUGAGUACCGGAGAGGUCAGCGGAAUGCGUGGUGUAGCGGUGAAAUGCGUAGAUAUAAGGAAGAACACCGGUGGCGAAGGCGGAUGACUGGACGGCAACUGACGGUGAGGCGCGAAAGCGUGGGGAGCGAACAGGAUUAGAUACCCCAGUAGUC
This 442-nucleotide ribosomal RNA is filed under the name uncultured bacterium. RNAcentral's name for it is "partial 16S ribosomal RNA". It matches the Rfam family "Bacterial small subunit ribosomal RNA", at positions 338 to 795 of the family's 1533-position model. The record is from RNAcentral.